GAUGAACGCUGGCGGCGUGCCUAAUACAUGCAAGUCGAGCGAACGGACGAGAAGCUUGCUUCUCUGAUGUUAGCGGCGGACGGGUGAGUAACACGUGGAUAACCUACCUAUAAGACUGGGAUAACUUCGGGAAACCGUAGCUAAUACCGGAUAAUAUUUUGAACCGCAUGGUUCAAAAGUGAAAGACGGUCUUGCUGUCACUUAUAGAUGGAUCCGCGCUGCAUUAGCUAGUUGGUAAGGUAACGGCCUACCAAGGCAACGAUGCAUAGCCGACCUGAGAGGGGGAUCGGCGACACUGGAACUGAGACACGGUCCAGACUCCUACGGGAGGCAGCAGUAGGGAAUCUUACGCAAUGGGCGAAAGCCUGACGGAGCAACGCCGCGUGAGUGAUGAAGGUCUUCGGAUCGUAAAACUCUGUUAUUAGGGAAGAACAUAUGUGUAAGUAACUGUGCACAUCUUGACGGUACCUAAUCAGAAAGCCACGGCUAACUACGUG
This 497-nucleotide ribosomal RNA is filed under the name uncultured bacterium. RNAcentral describes it as "partial 16S ribosomal RNA". It matches the Rfam family "Bacterial small subunit ribosomal RNA", at positions 28 to 507 of the family's 1533-position model. The record is from RNAcentral.